CAGCAGCCGCGGUAAUACGGAGGGAGCUAGCGUUGUUCGGAAUUACUGGGCGUAAAGCGCACGUAGGCGGCUUUGUAAGUUAGAGGUGAGAGCCUGGAGCUCAACUCCAGAAUUGCCUUUAAGACUGCAUCGCUUGAAUCCAGGAGAGGUGAGUGGAAUUCCGAGUGUAGAGGUGAAAUUCGUAGAUAUUCGGAAGAACACCAGUGGCGAAGGCGGCUCACUGGACUGGUAUUGACGCUGAGGUGCGAAAGCGUGGGGAGCAAACAGGAUUAGAUACCCCCGUAGUCCCUGUCUCUUAUAU
RNAcentral lists this ribosomal RNA (301 nucleotides) under uncultured bacterium. RNAcentral's name for it is "partial 16S ribosomal RNA". It matches the Rfam family "Bacterial small subunit ribosomal RNA", at positions 509 to 809 of the family's 1533-position model. The record is from RNAcentral.